AAUUUUGGACAAUGGGGGCAACCCUGAUCCAGCCAUUCCGCGUGAGUGAAGAAGGCCUUCGGGUUGUAAAGCUCUUUUGUCCGGAACGAAACGGGUAGGUCUAACAAGCCUGCCUACUGACGGUACCGGAAGAAUAAGCCCCGGCUAACUACGUGCCAGCAGCCGCGGUAAUACGUAGGGGGCAAGCGUUGUCCGGAUUUACUGGGCGUAAAGAGCGCGUAGGCGGAGAUCUAAGCGUGGCCUGAAAGCCCCCGGCUCAACCGGGGAGUGCGGCUGCGAACUGGGUUUCUUGAGGACGAUAGAGGAGAGUGGAAUUCCUGGUGUAGCGGUGAAAUGCGUAGAUAUCAGGAGGAACACCCGAGGCGAAGGCGGCUCUCUGGGUCGUACCUGACGCUGAGGCGCGAAAGCGUGGGGAGCGAAC
RNAcentral lists this ribosomal RNA (421 nucleotides) under uncultured bacterium. RNAcentral's name for it is "bacterial SSU rRNA". It matches the Rfam family "Bacterial small subunit ribosomal RNA", at positions 360 to 773 of the family's 1533-position model. The record is from RNAcentral.